UACGUAGGGCGCAAGCGUUGUCCGGAAUUAUUGGGCGUAAAGAGCUCGUAGGCGGACUGUCACGUCUGCUGUGAAAAGCUGGGGCUUAACCCUGGCCUUGCAGUGGAUACGGGCAGACUAGAGGUAGGUAGGGGAGAAUGGAAUUCCCGGUGUAGCGGUGAAAUGCGCAGAUAUCGGGAGGAACACCGGUGGCGAAGGCGGUUCUCUGGGCCUUACCUGACGCUGAGGAGCGAAAGCGUGGGGAGCGAACAGG
This 253-nucleotide ribosomal RNA is filed under the name uncultured bacterium. RNAcentral's name for it is "partial 16S ribosomal RNA". It matches the Rfam family "Bacterial small subunit ribosomal RNA", at positions 524 to 776 of the family's 1533-position model. The record is from RNAcentral.